Molecule: ribosomal RNA, 669 nt
Filed under: Prorocentrum micans
Lineage: Eukaryota; Dinophyceae; Prorocentrales; Prorocentraceae
Description: eukaryotic LSU rRNA
Rfam family: Eukaryotic large subunit ribosomal RNA
Source: RNAcentral
AAGCAUAUAAGUAAGCGGAGGAUAAGAAACUAAAUAGGAUUCCCUCAGUAAUGGCGAAUGAACAGGGAUCAGCUCAGCAUGGAAAUUGGGGCCCUCGGCCUUGAAUUGUAGUCUCGAGAUGCAUCGCCAAUGGAGGCGCAGAUGUAAGCCUCUUGGAAAAGAGCAUCAACGAGGGUGAGAGUCCCGUUUGUCAUCUGCAGUCCCCCAUGCACGGCGUGCCUUCUAAGAGUCGCGUUCCUCGGAAUUGGAGCGUCAAUUGGGUGGUAAAUUUCAUCUCAAGCUAAAUAUUGGUUCGAGACCGAUAGCAAACAAGUACCAUGAGGGAAAGGUGAAAAGGACUUUGAAAAGAGAGUUAAAAGUGCCUGAAAUUGCUGAAAGGGAAGCGAAUGGAACCAGUGUUGCUUGGCGAGAUUGUCGUACGCAUUCGCGUGUGGUGGUUCUUGCCUUGUGUGUCAACGCCAGUUCGCGAUCGAGGAAAACUCCAGGGACAUGGUAGCCUACCCCAGGGUGGGUGAAUGUGCCUGGUAGAACUCAUUUGCGGACUGUUUCCUUCGUGUCUGGUUGCAGUGCUGCUUGAUCCUGUGUUGGCGCUUGGGGGUGGGAGCUCGCUCCUCACACCCUGCCCUUCUAAGGUUCUCAGCGCUUCCCUGACACAUAGACGAUGACUAA